RNAcentral lists this long non-coding RNA (562 nucleotides) under Androctonus crassicauda. Lineage: Eukaryota; Metazoa; Arthropoda; Arachnida; Scorpiones; Buthidae. The record is from RNAcentral.
UGUUUUAUUGGAACUUCAAGUAUACGAAGGUUUAGCAGUCUUAAUAGUCGUAAUAUUUUCAAGAAUAUAGAAAAUGAACUGAUACUGAAAUUUGAGUUAUGCCUUAAGAAUUAUAUUAGGUAUGUCGAUGACAUAUUGACAGUUUGUAAGUGUGAAGCUAACAUCAAUGUUUUUCAAGCUGCUAUGACAUUAGACCACUAUGGCUUAACACUUAGAAAAGAGCAAUGUAGUAAAGAACAAGUCCAUUACCUAGAUAUAAGUAUAAAUGUUGAAGGUUGUGAAUUAAAGAUGAUGGUCUAUAGAAAACUUUUCUACCAGCCAGUCCUGAUCCCAAGGUGGUCACUGGACCCCAUAUCUUAUAAAGCGGUUGCAUUUGGUUUCUAUUUUGGGAAAGCUUAUAAUUAAUUAUAUAUCAGAUUGCAAUGAUUUGCGGAGGGAGCUUGAAUGCAUUUGCACUGCUGGAUGCAGCCGUGGAUAUAGUGGAAACUUCCUGGAAGCUGUUCGCCGUAGAGUGGGAACUGGCCUCUGCCCAUUGCGGCGGAGUGAAGGUCAAACAUGCACC